Molecule: unclassified non-coding RNA, 330 nt
Filed under: Trichomerium foliicola
Lineage: Eukaryota; Fungi; Ascomycota; Eurotiomycetes; Chaetothyriales; Trichomeriaceae
Description: partial internal transcribed spacer region
Rfam family: Eukaryotic small subunit ribosomal RNA (bases 1-46)
Source: RNAcentral
AAGUCGUAACAAGGUUUCCGUAGGUGAACCUGCGGAAGGAUCAUUACCGAGUUAGGGUCUCCUCUGUGAGGCCCGACCUCCCAACCCCGUGUCUAACAAACCUGUUUGUGUUGCUUCGGCGGAACGACAGUGACCUAAUCUCCCCUUCACGGGGGAGACGGUUGUCCGUCGCCGGGGGACUCACGGUCUCACGACCGCCCCUGGAGAGUGUCCGCCGACGGCCCCCAACCAAAAAACUACCAAACCCAAAUUGUGAAAUAAAUUUCUGAAUCAGACCCUUUGAUAUACCAAUCAAAAACAAAACUUUCAACAACGGAUCUCUUGGUUCUG